Tympanuchus pallidicinctus (lesser prairie-chicken) is the source of this 2971-nucleotide long non-coding RNA. RefSeq lists it as uncharacterized. Lineage: Eukaryota; Metazoa; Chordata; Aves; Galliformes; Phasianidae. The transcript is spliced from 3 exons. The record is from RefSeq and is a predicted model, not a curated record.
CACUAAGUACACAUACAGUGGUACUCAUAGAAGAAGAUGUUCCAAGUUUAUGUUGCUUUUGUAAAAAUUAUUUCCACUCAUUCAUACAUACCAGUAUAUAAUUUCUAAGCUACGAGGAUACCAACAAUCACUGGAAAUGGCCUUUAUAAGCUCACAUCACAGCAGAGCAAGUUUUAGGAACAUAAAGCUAUGGCUGUUGCACAGAAUGUCAGAUACUAUGGGGAUCUGGGAGGCUGGGGUAUGUAGUGGUGAAAGUCAUCUGGUGUGAGAACAGCAGGGAACCCCUACAGCCUGGUGCUAGCUCAGACCACAAACCAGGGAGUGUCCACUUGUGCCCUCUCGAGGAGCACCAUCUGCCUUGCCUGCCAUUUGGAGAGACACAGGAUGAACUUUACAAACAUAAUUUGGAGCUGAAUUUUUCAUAUUUGGAUCGCGCUUCACAAGACUCUUACCUUUCCAUUCAGUGUAAAUAAGCAGAAAUUAUCAUUUUGACUUGCUUUACAAAAUACAUAGAAACAGCUUUUCAAAGUCUCUCUUAAAUCAAAUAGCGUAAGUCUCACAUUUGUUUGUGUUUGCACCCUUUUAUGAGCUCUAGGAGGCUGUGAUUUCCAUUGCUGUGUAAAUCACAUCUGCUCAUAAGCUGUGGUUUUAAAAACACCACACAUCUGUAGUAUCAAAUGUGUGCAAAUUAGAGAAUUAUAUGACAUUACCAGUCACUUACAUGCAAAUGUAAGUGUCAUUUUUUGUGUGGUAUUAUUUUAAGUUGCGCUAUUCUGUACCAUAAACUACAGUCACCUACUCUCUACUUACACAACAGUCCAAACAGGAGUUUCCUCUUUGCAGUCAUUUUCAUUGUAGCCAUAUAGGCAGGUACUCCAAUCAGGAAUAUAAGUGACAACCUGUUAUGUGCCCUGAAGCUUGCUUACAGUCAUUCUUCAUAGGUGGCCUGGUCACCAUACUCAUUAGUUUUGAGUAAAUAAAAUGUGGUCUUUGGUGUUUUGGAGUUCUACUUGCUGGUAAAAGAGGUAGUUUUUUUUCUUGAACAGUCUGGAAAAGGGGCACUUUUCUGGCUUUACUUUCUUCAUGUACUCUUGGUGAUGUACUUUUGAUGAUGGUCCCAGACUGAUCAGAGCCACUGUCUUUAAAUCUAAGAUCUGGAUGUGGGCAAGUGGUACUGUUGGUCAAUUAUACCCCCUCUUCCAACACUGUAAAAGCAGUUGUACUGUGACACAUUUGCUCUAUUUUUCUACCUCUAAGCAUCUCAAGAUACUGCGUCAGCAAGAUUUUCCUUCUCCUAUUUCAUAGUCCAGUUCCUAUUUCCAACGUUUUUUCACUUAAGUUCUUUUAAUAUCUGCUCAUAAGAAUGUUCUGCUUUAAAUUAAAAGUCUAUGUGUUUUAGUCCUCACUCCAGUUUUUCUUUAGACAAAUAUUUGGACAAAACUUGAACAAAAAUUUCAGAACACCCAGUAUUACUUAUAAGCAUUAUUAGUGAAGCUUAACGAAGCAAUUAUGCAGAAGCUGUUAUCAUCUUCACCUUUCAUACAGUCAAAAUAAAUUACAGAUAAAUUAAUUCAUGACUCAAUCAAGGUUGUGCAGCAAAUUAUUGGUAGCAGCUGGACAUGGAGCCAAGGAACUCUAACACCCACACUCCUGCUGAAAUGAUAUACCCUGAAAACACCAGGACUGCCUCAGACUCAGAGCUACUUACAUUCCUCUCAAAUGAUUGAAGUGUUUUUAGACCAUGAAAAUUAAAGAAAGGAAAAAUAAUGUAAAUCAGUGUCUGUUUCUACAUUGUUUUCUCUCCUGAGAAUAAAAGACUUCUUUUUCUUGUUUUAAUUUGUUCUUACAGUAGAUAUUGGCAAGCUGAAAGUUGAAGUAAAAUAGGAAAAAAUAACAAGCAUAUUUUGAGUGAUUACUCAACUGGGGUCCUUUGUGACAGGAAAUGCAGCUGCGUGACUAAUGGGCCUGACUUUCUCUUGGCUUCCUUCCCCCUUCAAAGAUCUUGUUUACUGCCCCAGCCAAUUUUUUUUUUCAAAUUGCUAGAAGCUAGCAAUUUUCCAGGGAAAAAAAAAAGAUCUCUGCAAGAGGCAAAGGCAGUAAAUCUUGCAAAGAUCAAGGGCUGCAGUGCUCUCCCCAUCUACUCCUUUUAGCCUUCCAGGCUCUUGAGUCACAUCAUAUCUUCCCCUGCUCCACUUAGAACAUGUGUCUAGCAGAUCUUUCUGCUUUGGUGAGAGGAGGGAGUAUGUGAAUCACAUUUACAGAGUUUAGCCCUGGAAUUCAUAAAGGAAGGGCUAAUUCCAUUAAGGAAACCAGGGGCCUCCUAAGCCUCUUGCAUUUUGUCUCUUUUUAUUAUUUUUUCUCACUCGCUCUCUUUUAGCAACAGUUGUGCACUCAUAAUCCAUGAUGAUGUGACUGAGGGUAACCAAAGGUGGGCCUGGGCCUGGAUCUCUCCUGAACUUGAUGGGAAAAGGAUCAGUGUAUCCAAGCUUCACCUUCUCCCUACCAUGCAACAAAAACCCAAGUCCCUUCUCAUUUUGCUGUGCCAAUCUGUGUGGGAACUGCUGAGUCAGGCCUGAACCUCUGAUUGAUCACCUGAGGCGAGCCAUGAGUCAGCCAGAGGAGCACAGCUGAAGGCAAUUCACCUGUGCUGCAGGAAGGGGUGGAGCCUGGCUGCACCUCUCCUAGACCUAUUUAAGAGCUGACUGCCAGUAGGGAAGGAUCUCUUCUGGAGGUUGCCUCUACUGGUGUUUUGUGGGUGAGCCCAGGAUAAGGGUAAGCCUUCUAUUUUUUCUCUUUUGCUAUCAUAGUCUACUUUGCCUAAAUCUCUUGUUUAGUUUGUGAUUAUAACAUCCUAAUAUUCUUUGAUUAUACACAAUCAUACUGCAAUUCCUUGUCUUCAUUCUGAUCAUGGUGGAACAGCAGGCAGAUACUUCCAAAAAAAUCCAGCAGAAUUAAAAACUUGCAAUGAAAA